This 164-nucleotide small nuclear RNA is filed under the name Myotis davidii. RNAcentral describes it as "U1 spliceosomal RNA". It matches the Rfam family "U1 spliceosomal RNA". From Rfam's summary of the family: U1 is a small nuclear RNA (snRNA) component of the spliceosome (involved in pre-mRNA splicing). Lineage: Eukaryota; Metazoa; Chordata; Mammalia; Chiroptera; Vespertilionidae. The record is from Rfam by way of RNAcentral.
AUACUUACCUGGCAGGGGAGAUACCAUGAUCAUGAAGGUGGUUUUCCCAGGGCAAGGCUUAUCCAUUGUACUCCAGAUGUGCUGACCCCUUCAAUUUCCCCAAAUGUGGAAAACUUGACUGCAUAAUUUGUGGUAGAGGGGGACUGUGUUUGCAAUCUCUCCUG